GCCUGGCUAGCUCAGUCGGUAGAGCACACGGCUCUCGAUCCGGCGUUGUGAGUCCAAAUCCCAUGUUGGGUG
This 72-nucleotide transfer RNA is filed under the name Felis catus (domestic cat). It matches the Rfam family "tRNA". Rfam says of the family: Transfer RNA (tRNA) molecules are approximately 80 nucleotides in length. The record is from Rfam by way of RNAcentral. Lineage: Eukaryota; Metazoa; Chordata; Mammalia; Carnivora; Felidae.